Molecule: ribosomal RNA, 268 nt
Filed under: uncultured bacterium
Lineage: Bacteria
Description: partial 16S ribosomal RNA
Rfam family: Bacterial small subunit ribosomal RNA
Source: RNAcentral
AUCUGUCUUAGUGGCGGACGGGUGAGUAACGCGUGGGCAACCUGCCCUGUACCGGGGGAUAACACUUAGAAAUAGGUGCUAAUACCGCAUAAUAGGGAAUACCGCAUGGUAAUCCUUUGAAAACUCCGGUGGUACAGGAUGGGCCCGCGUCUGAUUAGCUGGUUGGCAGGGUAACGGCCUACCAAGGCGACGAUCAGUAGCCGGCCUGAGAGGGCGGACGGCCACACUGGGACUGAGACACGGCCCAGACUCCUACGGAAGGCAGCAG